RNAcentral lists this ribosomal RNA (459 nucleotides) under uncultured bacterium. RNAcentral describes it as "partial 16S ribosomal RNA". It matches the Rfam family "Bacterial small subunit ribosomal RNA", at positions 338 to 795 of the family's 1533-position model. The record is from RNAcentral.
CCUACGGGAGGCUGCAGUGAGGAAUAUUGGUCAAUGGGCAAGAGCCUGAACCAGCCAAGUCGCGUGAGGGAAGACGGUCCUAUGGAUUGUAAACCUCUUUUGCCGGGGAGCAAAAAGCGGUACGUGUACCGCAUCGAGAGUACCCGGAGAAAAAGCAUCGGCUAACUCCGUGCCAGCAGCCGCGGUAAUACGGAGGAUGCGAGCGUUAUCCGGAUUUAUUGGGUUUAAAGGGUGCGCAGGCGGCGAGUUAAGUCAGCGGUAAAAUUUCGGGGCUCAACCCCGACGAGCCGUUGAAACUGGCGUGCUAGAGUGGGCGAGAAGUAUGCGGAAUGCGUGGUGUAGCGGUGAAAUGCAUAGAUAUCACGCAGAACUCCGAUUGCGAAGGCAGCAUACCGGCGCCCAACUGACGCUCAGGCACGAAAGCGUGGGUAUCGAACAGGAUUAGAUACCCCUGUAGUC